Molecule: transfer RNA, 84 nt
Filed under: bacterium
Lineage: Bacteria
Also listed under: 2 other names
Description: tRNA-Leu
Rfam family: tRNA
About the family: Transfer RNA (tRNA) molecules are approximately 80 nucleotides in length. Their secondary structure includes four short double-helical elements and three loops (D, anti-codon, and T loops).
Source: RNAcentral
GCCGAAGUGGCGGAAUUGGCAGACGCGCCAGGUUCAGGACCUGGUGGUGGCAACACCGUUGGGGUUCGACUCCCCACUUCGGCA